RNAcentral lists this ribosomal RNA (409 nucleotides) under uncultured Methylomirabilota bacterium. RNAcentral describes it as "bacterial SSU rRNA". It matches the Rfam family "Bacterial small subunit ribosomal RNA", at positions 1026 to 1434 of the family's 1533-position model. Lineage: Bacteria; Methylomirabilota (SeqCode). The record is from RNAcentral.
GCGUGGAGACAGGUGGUGCAUGGCUGUCGUCAGCUCGUGUCGUGAGAUGUUGGGUUAAGUCCCGCAACGAGCGCAACCCUCACCCCUUGUUGCCAUCAGGUGAUGCUGGGCACUCUAGGGGAACUGCCCCGGUCAACGGGGAGGAAGGUGGGGAUGACGUCAAGUCAUCAUGCCCCUUACGUCCUGGGCUACACACGUGCUACAAUGGCCGGUACAAAGGGAUGCAAUACCGCGAGGUGGAGCUAAACCCAGAAAGCCGGUCUAAGUUCAGAUUGGAGUCUGCAACUCGACUCCAUGAAGGAGGAAUCGCUAGUAAUCGCGCAUCAGCACGGCGCGGUGAAUACGUUCCCGGGCCUUGUACACACCGCCCGUCACACCACGAAAGCCAGCUGUACUCGAAGUCGCUGAG